GAAAGAAGGGAUGGGCCAGUGAGUGCGGAAGGGCAGCCUGCCUUGUGAAAGGGUGGGGAGAGAGGAGGCCCAGGCUGGCAAGUGGUAACAGCCUACCACUUAAGAGCCAAGAAGGUGAGGCUGGAGGACUUCCCCAGAUACAGAGCUGCUCCCAUUCCGCUCCUUUGCCCUGAGAAGUGAUUUCGGGGGAGGGAGUGCACGCACGCCCUGCAGCCCUCAAGCCCGGAUCCUGAGGUGGGCUGAAGGAAGAUCUUAGCUGGGCUAGGCAGCCCAGCCAGGAGCCUUCGGCUUGGUUAAGCCAAUGCCCUCCUGCUUCUCCAAAAGCUUUAAAGUGACUUUAGUGCCUU
Molecule: long non-coding RNA, 347 nt
Filed under: Pan troglodytes (chimpanzee)
Lineage: Eukaryota; Metazoa; Chordata; Mammalia; Primates; Hominidae
Description: long non-coding RNA NONPTRT001194
Source: RNAcentral